CUUCUAUCUUGACAGAUGUCACUGAAUCUGAGGAAACUCAGUCGAAUGAAGACCUUCGAUGUUUGUGGAUGGUUCACUUUGGGUCACCACACUCUCGUUGCGAUGUGUAGCUUCAUCGCCACCUACCUGGUCGUUCUGCUGCAAGUGGGUGGCCACGAAACGUCGGUGGAGGAAAGUAAAGCCGCCAUUUCAGAAGUCCACUAACCAGGGGAUAGACCAAUGCCAUGCCUGACUGUGGGAGAGAUAUUGGGAACCCUUGAAAAUGAGGCUUUGCGGACAUCAUAUCUCUAGGUCAUUUCCCAGCCACGUGAUCUGGUGGACCUGCAAUCAACCACCUUUGCAUUUAUUCCUGG
Long non-coding RNA from Macrobrachium nipponense, 353 nucleotides. RefSeq lists it as uncharacterized. The transcript has 3 exons. The record is from RefSeq and is a predicted model, not a curated record. NCBI's taxonomy places the organism in Eukaryota, Metazoa, Arthropoda, Malacostraca, Decapoda, Palaemonidae.